CAAAGCACUUUGAAGAGAGAGUUUAAAGACGGGACGUGAAACCGGUGAAGGUGGAAACGGAUAGAGUCGGCGUAUCUUUCAAUUAUUCAGUUACAUUAUUUUUAUGUUGUGACCUCUGAGCUCCAGAUUGGGACAGAGGGAAUCAGCAUAAUUUUUUGUGGUGCAUUUACUUGAUUGGUGCUUGGGGAUGUUUGAGGCAGAUUUGUUUCCGUCGUUUUGAGGCCAGCUUGCUGGUACCCAAACGGUGUUAGCAUUUUUUGUCUUGGGCAUUUGAGUAUGGCUCACGUGUAUUUAUUGGACAGAUCUGAGUGUAAGUUACGGUCGCAUGCGACACGUGCUUUUCAAUUAGUUCGGUCCAGUUAAUGCUCUCGUACUCGUUCCCCAUGUAAAAGCCGGUCAUCUAUCCGACCCGUCUUGAAACACGGACCAAGGAGUUUAUCGUGUGCGCAAGUUUUUGGGUGUUAAAAACUUAAAAGCGAAAUGAAAGUAAAUGACUCUUUAGAGUCUGAUGUGCGAUCUUGUAAAAAAGUGCAGCAUGGCCCCAUUCUAACUGUUUACAGUAGGGUGGCGGAAGAGCUUACGCGGUGAGACCCGAAAGAUGGUGAACUAUUCCUGAGCAGGACGAAGCCAGAGGAAACUCUGGUGGAAGUCCGAAGCUGGUUCUGACGUGCAAAUCGAUACGUCGUGACUUGGCGAUAGGGGCGAAAAGACUAAUCACAC
Molecule: ribosomal RNA, 720 nt
Filed under: Meloidogyne sp. DHR-2019
Lineage: Eukaryota; Metazoa; Nematoda; Chromadorea; Rhabditida; Meloidogynidae
Description: partial large subunit ribosomal RNA
Rfam family: Eukaryotic large subunit ribosomal RNA
Source: RNAcentral